UAACCUCGUCGUCUGAGUGGUGACCUGGUGCUUGCAUCAUGACUUACAUUUGAGUGAGUGGCGAACUGGUGAGUAACACGUGGGAAACCUGCCCAGAAGCGGGGGAUAACACCUGGAAACAGAUGCUAAUACCGCAUAACAACUUGGACCGCAUGGUCCGAGUUUGAAAGAUGGCUUCGGCUAUCACUUUUGGAUGGUCCCGCGGCGUAUUAGCUAGAUGGUGGGGUAACGGCUCACCAUGGCAAUGAUACGUAGCCGACCUGAGAGGGUAAUCGGCCACAUUGGGACUGAGACACGGCCCAAACUCCUACGGGAGGCAGCAGUAGGGAAUCUUCCACAAUGGACGAAAGUCUGAUGGAGCAACGCCGCGUGAGUGAAGAAGGGUUUCGGCUCGUAAAACUCUGUUGUUAAAGAAGAACAUAUCUGAGAGUAACUGUUCAGGUAUUGACGGUAUUUAACCAGAAAGCCACGGCUAACUACGUGCCAGCAGCCGCGGUAAUACGUAGGUGGCAAGCGUUGUCCGGAUUUAUUGGGCGUAAAGCGAGCGCAGGCGGUUUUUUAAGUCUGAUGUGAAAGCCUUCGGCUCAACCGAAGAAGUGCAUCGGAAACUGGGAAACUUGAGUGCAGAAGAGGACAGUGGAACUCCAUGUGUAGCGGUGAAAUGCGUAGAUAUAUGGAAGAACACCAGUGGCGAAGGCGGCUGUCUGGUCUGUAACUGACGCUGAGGCUCGAAAGUAUGGGUAGCAAACAGGAUUAGAUACCCUGGUAGUCCAUACCGUAAACGAUGAAUGCUAAGUGUUGGAGGGUUUCCGCCCUUCAGUGCUGCAGCUAACGCAUUAAGCAUUCCGCCUGGGGAGUACGGCCGCAAGGCUGAAACUCAAAGGAAUUGACGGGGGCCCGCACAAGCGGUGGAGCAUGUGGUUUAAUUCGAAGCUACGCGAAGAACCUUACCAGGUCUUGACAUACUAUGCAAAUCUAAGAGAUUAGACGUUCCCUUCGGGGACAUGGAUACAGGUGGUGCAUGGUUGUCGUCAGCUCGUGUCGUGAGAUGUUGGGUUAAGUCCCGCAACGAGCGCAACCCUUAUUAUCAGUUGCCAGCAUUAAGUUGGGCACUCUGGUGAGACUGCCGGUGACAAACCGGAGGAAGGUGGGGAUGACGUCAAAUCAUCAUGCCCCUUAUGACCUGGGCUACACACGUGCUACAAUGGAUGGUACAACGAGUUGCGAACUCGCGAGAGUAAGCUAAUCUCUUAAAGCCAUUCUCAGUUCGGAUUGUAGGCUGCAACUCGCCUACAUGAAGUCGGAAUCGCUAGUAAUCGCGGAUCAGCAUGCCGCGGUGAAUACGUUCCCGGGCCUUGUACACACCGCCCGUCACACCAUGAGAGUUUGUAACACCCAAAGUGCGGUGGCGUAGCUCUACCAAG
RNAcentral lists this ribosomal RNA (1424 nucleotides) under Lactiplantibacillus plantarum. RNAcentral's name for it is "bacterial SSU rRNA". It matches the Rfam family "Bacterial small subunit ribosomal RNA", at positions 71 to 1449 of the family's 1533-position model. Lineage: Bacteria; Bacillati; Bacillota; Bacilli; Lactobacillales; Lactobacillaceae. The record is from RNAcentral.